This 120-nucleotide microRNA precursor is filed under the name Nicotiana sylvestris (wood tobacco). RNAcentral's name for it is "mir-399 microRNA precursor family". It matches the Rfam family "mir-399 microRNA precursor family". Rfam says of the family: mir-399 was identified in both Arabidopsis thaliana and Oryza sativa computationally and was later experimentally verified. mir-399 is thought to target mRNAs coding for a phosphatase transporter. The mature sequence is excised from the 3' arm of the hairpin. RNAcentral also lists the same sequence under 1 other name. Lineage: Eukaryota; Viridiplantae; Streptophyta; Magnoliopsida; Solanales; Solanaceae. The record is from Rfam by way of RNAcentral.
AGGUGCAUUACAGGGCAAAAACUCCAUUGGCAGGCAGCCAGCUAAAGGCAUGCAACUAUUGUUUUAAGUGUUCUUUUAUGUCUGCCCUCUGCCAAAGGAGAUUUGCCCGGCAACUCUCCU